This 192-nucleotide unclassified non-coding RNA is filed under the name uncultured Orbiliales. Its description in RNAcentral is "sequence contains ITS2". The record is from RNAcentral. Lineage: Eukaryota; Fungi; Ascomycota; Orbiliomycetes; Orbiliales.
AUACCUUCGGUUUGACGAUUUAUUGUCUCGCCGGCGUUGGCGGUUUUGGGAUACGCGGGGCAACCCGCGCCAUUCUGCUUAAACACUGACAGCGGGGUCAAGUUUAGAACACCUUCGAUUAGUAGAAAUAUUCAUCGAAAAAGGAAUUUAAACUUGCCCGCCAUACAAAAUAAAAGGGUAAAAGCCUUAUAA